CCUACGGGAGGCAGCAGUGAGGAAUAUUGGUCAAUGGACGAGAGUCUGAACCAGCCAAGUAGCGUGAAGGAUGACUGCCCUAUGGGUUGUAACCUUCUUUUAUAAAGGAAUAAAACGAGGCACGUGUGCCUUUUUGCAUUUAUUUUAUGAUUAAGGACCGGCUAACUCCGUGCCAGCAGCCGCGGUAAUACGGAGGAUCCGAGCGUUAUCCGGAUUUAUUGGGUUUAAAGGGAGCGUAGAUGGGUUGUUAAGUCAGUUGUGAAAGUUUGCGGCUCAACCGUAAAAUUGCAAUUGAUACUGGCAGUCUUGAGUACAGUUGAGGUAGGCGGAAUUCGUGGUGUAGCGGUGAAAUGCUUAGAUAUCACGAAGAACCCCGAUUGCGAAGGCAGCUUACUAAACUGUGACUGACAUUGAUGCUCGAAAGUGUGGGUAUCAAACAGGAUUAGAUACCCCAGUAGUC
This 460-nucleotide ribosomal RNA is filed under the name uncultured bacterium. Its description in RNAcentral is "partial 16S ribosomal RNA". It matches the Rfam family "Bacterial small subunit ribosomal RNA", at positions 338 to 795 of the family's 1533-position model. The record is from RNAcentral.